GAUGAACGCUAGCGGCAGGCCUAAUACAUGCAAGCCGAACGGCAAGAUUUUCAGCAAUGGAAAUCCUAGGGUGGCGUAAGGGUGCGUAACACGUAUGCAAUCUGCCCUCAACAGGAGGAUAGCUCCCCGAAAGGGGAAUUAAGACUCCAUAAGAUCUUAGAGUGGCAUCACUUAGAGAUUAAACUACCAGGGGUUGAGGAUGAGCAUGCGCAUGAUUAGUUAGUUGGCGGGGUAACGGCCCACCAAGACGAUGAUCAUUAGGGGAACUGAGAGGUUGAUCCCCCACACUGGC
Molecule: ribosomal RNA, 292 nt
Filed under: uncultured bacterium
Lineage: Bacteria
Description: partial 16S ribosomal RNA
Rfam family: Bacterial small subunit ribosomal RNA
Source: RNAcentral